RNAcentral lists this ribosomal RNA (388 nucleotides) under uncultured eukaryote. RNAcentral describes it as "SSU rRNA". It matches the Rfam family "Eukaryotic small subunit ribosomal RNA", at positions 567 to 963 of the family's 1831-position model. The record is from RNAcentral.
CCAGCAGCCGCGGUAAUUCCAGCUCCAAUAGCGUAUAUUUAAGUUGUUGCAGUUAAAAAGCUCGUAGUUGGAUUUCGGGUGGGGUGGUGCGGUCCGCCUCUGGUGUGCACUGCUCCGCUCCACCUUCCUGCCGGGGACGGGCUUCUGGGCUUCACUGUCCGGGACUCGGAGUCGGCGAUGUUACUUUGAGUAAAUUAGAGUGUUCAAAGCAGGCCUACGCUCUGAAUACAUUAGCAUGGAAUAACACGAUAGGACUCUGGCCUAUCUGUUGGUCUGUGGGACCGGAGUAAUGAUUAAGAGGGACAGUCGGGGGCAUUCGUAUUCCGUUGUCAGAGGUGAAAUUCUUGGAUUUACGGAAGACGAACUACUGCGAAAGCAUUUGCCAAGG